ACGUUCCCGGGCCUUGUACACACCGCCCGUCAAGCCAUGGAAGCUGGGGGUGCCUGAAGUUCGUGACCGCAAGGAGCGACCUAAGGCAAAACUGGUAACUGGGGCUAAGUCGUAACAAGGUAGCCGUACCGGAAGGUGUGGCUGGAACACCUCCUUUUUGGAGCUUA
Molecule: ribosomal RNA, 167 nt
Filed under: Bacteroidetes bacterium GWF2_39_10
Lineage: Bacteria; Pseudomonadati; Bacteroidota
Description: partial 16S ribosomal RNA
Rfam family: Bacterial small subunit ribosomal RNA
Source: RNAcentral